CACGGUGGCUCACGCCUGUAAUCCCAACAAUUUGGGAGGCCGAGGCGGGCAGAUCACAAGGUCAGGAGUUCAAGACCAGCCAGGCCAACAUGGUGAAACCCCGUCUCUACUAAAAAAAUACAAAAAUUAGCCAGGCAUAGUGGUGGGCACCUGUAGUCCCAGCUACUUGGGAGGCUGAGGCAGGAGAAUUGCUUGAACCUGGGAGGCAGAGGUUGCAGUAAGCCGAGAUUGCACCACUGCACUCCAGCCUGGGCAACAGAGCAAUACUCCGUCUCAAAAAAAAAAAAAAAAAAAACACAUCAAUGACAAUCUCAAUUUACCAUUGUGCCACAAAAAAAUACACAGACAUAGGGAGGAAGGAGGAGGAUUUACUGUUUAAUGAGUACAGAGUUUCAAUUUGGGAUGAUAAAAAAGGUUCUGAAGAUGGAUGGUGGUGAUAACAGUUGCUCAACAAUGUAAGUGUGCUUAAUUCUUCUUAAAAAUGAUUAAAAUGUAAAUUUUAUGUUGUAUUUUUACCAUAAUAAAAAAUAUAUUGCAUGAAAAAUACAUAUUUACAUAGACAAAAAUCUGGCUGAAUGUAAUGAAGAUGUUAUCCUAAACUAAUAAGAAAUAUCUGCAUUUAUCUUUGGGAACUGAAAACAUUUAUAUAAAUAUUCGAUUGAAUGAACCUCUGAGGAGCAACUUAAAAAUAAAGACUCAAACAGCAAAAUGUAUUUUAAAUGUUUAAUUUAAAAGGUAAUACUUACAACUAGAAAAAUGGAUAGCAUACUAUGUUGAUUGAAAUUCCAUAUAAAUUUCAAACUGUCUUUAUAUGUCCACUGCAGAGUUUCUAUCUAUCAAGGCAUGUAUGGAAGUUACUCUGUGCCAAAUAUUAUUCUAAGAUCAAUCUUUAUAAUAACAUGAUGGAAAUCUUUAUAAUAACAUGAUGGAAGGGAUGCUAUUAACAUCUUCCUUUUACAGAUAAGGAACUUGAAGCAGAGUGACUAAGCAAUUUGCCCAAGAUGAUCAGCUUGUGAAACUAUGGAAUGCAGAUUUAAGACCAAGAAGUUCAAAUCCAUGGUCUAUGCACUUAAUCAUCAUGCUAUGCUUGAACUCACACACUUCUCCUUCCUGACACCACAUGAAGAAGAAUGUGUUGCUUCCCCUUCUGCCACAAUUGUAAGCUUCCUGAGGCCUUCUCAGCCAUGCUGAAGUGUGAUUCAAUUAAACCUCUUUCCUUUGUAAAUUACCCAGUCUCAGGUAUGUCUUUAUUAGCAACAGGAGAACAGACUAGUAAAUUGGUGCCACAUAGAGUGGGGUGCUACUAUAAAGAUACCUGAAAAUGUGGAAGCAACUUUGGAACUGGGUAACAGGCAGAGGUUGGAACAGUUUGGAUGGCUCAGAAGAAGACUGAAGAAAUGUGGGAAAGUUUGGAACUUCCUAGAGACUUAGAGGGCUCAGAAGACAAGAAGACAUGAAAACGUUUGCAACUUCCUAGAGACUUGUUGAAUGGCUUUGAGCAAAACACUGAGAGUUAUAUGGACAGUGAUUUCCGGCUGAGGUGGUCUCAGAUAAAGAUGGGGAACUUGUUGGGAACUGGAGUGAAGGUCACUGUUGCUAUACAAAGAGACUGGCAGCAUUUUGCCCCUGUCCCAGACAUCUGUGAAACUUUGAACUUGAGAGAAAUAAUUUAGGGUAUCUGGUGGAAGAAAUUUCUAAGCGGCAAAGCUUUCAAGAGGAAGCAGAGCAUAAAAGUUUUGAAACUUUGUGCCCAAUGAUGCAAUGGAAAGGAAAACACCAUUUUCUGAGGAGAAAUUAAGCCAGCUGCAUAAAUUUGCGUAAGUAAUGAGGAUUUGAAUGUUAAUCACCAAGACAAUGGAGAAAAUGUCUCCAGAGCAUGUUAGAGACUUUCAUGGCAGCCCCUCCCCAUCACAGGCCCAGAGGCCUAAGAGGAAAAAUGGUUUCCUGGGCCAGGUCCAGGGUCCCCCUGCUGUGUGUAGGCAUGGGACUUGGUGCCCUGCAUCCCAGCCGCUCCAGCUGAGGCUAACAAUGCCUGUACCCCCAUUGUAUCUAGGGAGUAACUAACUUGCUUUUGAUUUUACAGGCUCAUAGGUAGAGGGGACUUGCCUUGUCUCAGAUGAGACUUUGGACUUAGACUUUUGAGUUAAUGCUGGAAUGAGUUAAGACUUUGAGGGACUGUUGGAAGGGCACGACUGUAUUAUGAAUUGUGAGGACAUGAGAUCUUGAAGGGGCCAGGGGCAAAAUGAUAUGAUUCAGCUGUGUUCCCACCCAAAUCUCAUCCCGAAGUGUAGUUCCAUAAUCCCCACAUGUCACUGGAGGAUCCCAGUGGAAGGUAAUUUAAUCAUAGGGGCAGUUACCCUCAUGUUGCUCUCAUGAUAGUGAGUUCUCAUGAGAUCUGACGGUUUUAUAAGGGGCUUUUCCCCCUCUUCACUCAACACUUCUCCUUCCUGCCACCAUGUGAAAAGGACGUGUUUGCUUCCCCUUCCACCAUGAUUGUAAGUUUCCUGAGGCCUUCCCAGCCAUGCUGAAGUGUGAUUCAAUUAAACCUCUUUCCUUUAUAAAUUAACCAGUCUCAGGUAUGUCUUUAUUAGCAGCAUGAGAACAGACUAAUACAAUAAGAAUGAGUGAGUAAGGGCUCCAAUAAGCAGAAGAAACCAAGAAUGUUGGGAGACAAAAUGUUAGGGUCAGACUAACCAGAAAGGCUCAAUGGCCAGAGCCAGAAGAGUCUGUGUGUGUCUGAACACUCAUAGGAAAAGAACUUUUUAGUAGGAAUGUAAUUAGGUUGAACCUGUGGGUAUAAAAAGUAAUAAAGAUUCAAAGAAGUUUGAAAUUAAAGCCUAAGUGAUAAGAUGGAACAAAGAUUAUAUAUGUUAGGAAGUGUUAUUCAUGUUAUAGUCUCAUGUUUAUUGCACUGUGUCAUUAUUUAGCAUAUAUUUCUAGUAAUUUUUACUGAUAUGUACUAAAAAAUUGUGGCAUGAUGCCCACCUCCUGGUGGUCAUGUCCUUAUAUGAUAUCACCUUGAGAGUAGGCAGGACCUGUGAUUUGCUUCUUCUAACUAAUAGAAUACAGCAGAGACAACAGGUUGUAUGUGAUUAUGUGUGUGUGAUUAUGUGGUCACAUUAGAUUAGACUGUAGCACUCGUUUUGCUGAAACCACUUUCCUUGCUGACUUUGAGAAAGUAAGUGGUCAUGUUGGGGAAACCCAUAUAGCAAGGAACUAUGCACAGCCUGUAGGAACUAAAGGUGGCCUCCAGAAAAUAGCCAGCAAGAAAUCGAAGCCCUCAGUCUUACACCCUCAACUAACAGAAUUCUGCUAACAACCUGAGUGAGCUCAGAAGUAGAUUGUCCCCAUUCGAGCAUCAGAUGAAACCACAGCCCCAGCCAAUACUUUGAUUGUAGCCUUGUUAGACACAAACCACAGGACUCAUUUCAGCUAACUCCUGACCCACAGACACCAUGUAGUAAUAAAUGUACGUUGUUACAAGACACAAAGUUUGUGGUAUGAUUGUUAGAUGACUAUUAUGCAGCAAUAGAUAACUAAUGCAGAACUAUAUGUUUAAUUCCAUGACUUUUAACUAUGAAACCUCAUGAUGCCUGAACCUGGUACCCUAAACAAUCGAGGAAACUAGC
RNAcentral lists this long non-coding RNA (3629 nucleotides) under Homo sapiens (human). RNAcentral's name for it is "HSALNT0325273". The record is from RNAcentral. Lineage: Eukaryota; Metazoa; Chordata; Mammalia; Primates; Hominidae.